AGCAGCAGCCCCCCGCUCCGGUCCUUCCUGGCUCUGAUUCCGAGGAAGAGGAGGAGGAAGAUGAGCCGGAGGAGGAAGAUGAGCCGGAGGCUGCUGCUGAAGAGGGUGGACAAACAGAGACACCUUUCCUCUCCCCCUCAGAAGAAGAAGAAGAAGGAGGAGGAGGAGGACACAGGCGGUGAGGAGGUUAGUGUAGAAUCAUUGAGCACAUGUGGUCAUGUGGCAGAGGUGUUAUUGAUGUUUUGUUUUGGUUUUCCAGGAAAAUGAACAGUGUAAGUGGUCGCAUGAGCAACGGGAGCUAUUCCGUACCAUGCGGCCAUAUUUUACAGGCCGGAGCAAAGGUUCCCUCAUACAGGCCAUUGAGUUUGGCACCUCCAUGAAUGUAUACAUGGAGGAGUAUGCCACAUUCACGUUCUGCCCAGAGGGAACACAGAAAAUUAAAGAGAAUGCCCAAACGAAGGUCAGCCAGGCAAAGGUUUUUGUUAAAUACCUUUGCCUCGGCUGGCCUUCCAUGACGCUGUGGGACUGGAUGUUCCUGUUCAAUGUCCCACUC
Solea solea (common sole) is the source of this 553-nucleotide long non-coding RNA. RefSeq lists it as uncharacterized. Lineage: Eukaryota; Metazoa; Chordata; Actinopteri; Pleuronectiformes; Soleidae. The transcript is spliced from 3 exons. The record is from RefSeq and is a predicted model, not a curated record.